GUGACCACCAUGUCUCCCGUGCCACCCGCCGCGCCGGCAGAGAAUGUUGAAGUGGCUUCACUCCGCAUCCCAGGAGCCUGCAUCGACUACCCCACCGGUUCCCCAGCCUGUCUCACCGCUCCCGGCUCCGACGCCCCUGUUCUCUGUUUCAGGAUUCUGCAGGUCUGUUCCAGGACCAAGAAAUACCUUCAGGGAUGUCAAAGAUCAACAUCUCCAGCCAAUGGACCUUCUCAUGAAACUCAGCUGUUUGGACUGGAAACAAUUAGCAUUCUUUGCAUUGUUUGGGUUUCUGGUAUUGUGAACCUUGUUUUAGUGAUUUAAUAGAACUAGAUAUUCAACAGGUAAAGAAUCUCCUUGAUCAUUCUACGUCAGCACUUGACUGAGGUUCUGACUGGCAACAGAUAAACCUCUCGAGAUGUGUUUGUUGUCUCUUCUGCAAGGGCCCAGCAGAAGAAUUGCAAAUGUAGUCUUCUUUUUAUUUUUAUUAUAGUAAGAAGGGUGAAUUGUAGCCGCAGCUCUCUUAAGAGAAAGGAAACAGGCACAACUUCCCAAGGAUAUUUCCUGGGAAUCACAGUGAGGAACCUCAGAGAAAGAAAAAACAAUUCUUAUUUCAUUUGCUGCUCCUGUUGUUGUGCUGAUGUGGAAUGUGUUCUGGAGAUUGUUUACCCAAGGUGAUUGCUUGAUUGGAUUCUGGUGGAAUUCUUUAUGUUAAUUAGCCGAUCAGGUCCAAGCUGUGUCCUGACUGUUGGGAGACAGUCACGAAUUUUUUUUUUUUGUUCUUUAGUAUUCUUUGUAGUAUAGUAUCAUAUUGUAUAUUAAAGUAAUUAAUUAGCCUUCUGA
Molecule: long non-coding RNA, 840 nt
Organism: Haemorhous mexicanus (house finch)
Lineage: Eukaryota; Metazoa; Chordata; Aves; Passeriformes; Fringillidae
Exons: 2
Source: RefSeq, a predicted model, not a curated record